UUUCCAUCUUGGAUCAAGGAUAGCAACACGUUGUAAGAGCUGAACAAGGAAAGAAGACAUGAGAGGAGGCUACAAAAGAAAGACACUACUGGGAUCACAGUGAAUCUGAGGUCACAAAACUCUACCCCAUGCUGCUUCCGGGCCUUGGAGCUCCAUGUUAUUUUUCCAGCACACCACCUUCCAUUUGUGAUGAAGAAUGCUACCCAUCAGUGUAAAGAAAAAAGGAGAUGAGGGAACCGCAUGGCCACCUAAUGAUGGGUCUAUUAUAAGUAAUGCUGCAAUGAACAUUGGAGUACAGAUACUUCUAUGAGACUGUGAUUUCUACCUCUUUGGAUACAUAUACUCAGAAGUAGGAUUGCUGGAUC
Molecule: long non-coding RNA, 365 nt
Organism: Orcinus orca (killer whale)
Lineage: Eukaryota; Metazoa; Chordata; Mammalia; Artiodactyla; Delphinidae
Exons: 4
Source: RefSeq, a predicted model, not a curated record